GUACUCCUUCGUUUCUCCACCAAAUCGAUCGAGUAAGGCACCAGGAGCCCGACAUAAUUAUAAAAGAGAUCUUCGAGGGAUCGAAGUAGCUCGGACCAUCUGUUGUAGAAGUGCAUAGGAUCCACCACCGGGCCACUCUUAA
Long non-coding RNA from Prunus dulcis (almond), 142 nucleotides. RefSeq lists it as uncharacterized. Lineage: Eukaryota; Viridiplantae; Streptophyta; Magnoliopsida; Rosales; Rosaceae. The record is from RefSeq and is a predicted model, not a curated record. The transcript is spliced from 3 exons.